This 301-nucleotide ribosomal RNA is filed under the name uncultured bacterium. Its description in RNAcentral is "partial 16S ribosomal RNA". It matches the Rfam family "Bacterial small subunit ribosomal RNA", at positions 509 to 808 of the family's 1533-position model. The record is from RNAcentral.
CAGUCGCCGCGGGAAUACGAAGGGGGCUAGCGUUGUUCGGAACUACUGGGCGUAAAGCGCACGUAGGCGGAUAUUUAAGUCAGGGGUGAAAUCCCAGAGCUCAACUCUGGAACUGCCUUUGAUGCUGGGUAUCUUGAGUAUGGAAGAGGUGAGUGGAAUUCCGAGUGUAGAGGUGAAAUUCGUAGAUAUUCGGAGGAACACCAGUGGCGAAGGCGGCUCACUGGUCCAUUACUGACGCUGAGGUGCGAAAGCGUGGGAGCAAACAGGAUUAGAUACCCCUGUAGUCCCUGUCUCUUAUACC